AUUGAACGCUGGCGGCAGGCCUAACACAUGCAAGUCGAACGAGUGGCGGACGGGUGAGUAAUGUCUGGGAAACUGCCCGAUGGAGGGGGAUAACUACUGGAAACGGUAUCUAAUACCGCAUACCAUCGGAUGUGCCCAGAUGGGAUUAGCUAGUAGGUGGGGUAACGGAUCACCUAGGCGACGAUCCCUAGCUGGUCUGAGAGGAUGACCAGCCGCACUGGAACUGAGACACGGUCCAGACUCCAACGGGGGGCAGCAGUGGGGAAUAUUGCACAAUGGGCGCAAGCCUGAUGCAGCAGUGCCGCAUGUAUGAAGAAGGCCUUCGGGUUGUAAAGUACUUUCAGCCAUGACGCGGUAGUGGCAGAAGAAGCACCGGCUAACUACGUGCCAGCAGCCGCGGUAAUAC
This 406-nucleotide ribosomal RNA is filed under the name uncultured bacterium. RNAcentral describes it as "partial 16S ribosomal RNA". It matches the Rfam family "Bacterial small subunit ribosomal RNA", at positions 30 to 526 of the family's 1533-position model. The record is from RNAcentral.